AGCUUGCGCUCUGACUCUGUCCGCGUGAAAAAACAUAUCCGUCCGUGAUAGCAGCAGAAUACAUCCACAGAGCCGGAAUCCCCUCAGCCUCAAGCCUGCCUCUCUGCUGCUUCUCUCCCCUCGAUAAAUAAACUACAAAGCCCGGACUCCCCUCACGGUAAGUAGGGGUAACCCGCGUCUAAUCAGCAUCAUAUGGCCAGACCGGGGCUCCGGUUUUCUUCCCCGUGCCAUAACAUCGCGCAGUAUUAUGCGCCCCGCUCACGUGACGCAACGUCAACUUAAAUCCCUUUUAUUUGAGCCCGUGAAUCAUUAAUGGAGGCAGUCAUUGCCCCUGAGGAGAAACGGAUCAGUUUGGAGGGAGAAAAAAGAGGGCUGUGUGACACUGCAAUGUAUCUGGCAGAGGAGCAGGUCUCUCGCAGAGAAGCAGCUUUUCCACGUGUCGCCCAUUCAGGGGGAAAGACUGCUCUGUCAGUUUUAAAGUGCCAUAUAUUCUGUGCCUGUUAGCGGCUGAAAGAGCUAAUCCUGUUGUAUUAUGCCGAGUUUCAAGUGCAGCCACGGCUCCGAGCCAGGCUAAAAGCGGAGUGUUUUACACUGCAGUGUGAUAAUUCGCACUAUGUCAGACGGAGAGGGCUUCUCCACGCAAAAUGCGAUUUAGAGCACAGUAUAAUAAUUCCUCAUCAUUCCUCCUUCCUCUUUACAGCACAGCCGGGGCUACACUCAGCCUUACUCACUAUCGCCCCCCGCCCUCAGACCCACAGUGAGGUUGUAGCACCACUUAAUGUGCCAAUGGUUCUCCAUCAGCAAAAGCCUGCAUGCUUUGGACCAAACUGAAAACAGAAGUCACGCAUUUACCUGUCCUACGUAAGGAGGCUGUGCGUCCUGGUGGUCGUAGGGGGAGUGUGUCAGUCAGCAGUGGGCGGAAAGUGGAGGUGAGAGAACCAAAGAGUGGCUGCUCGACCCCGCUGAUCAGAACAUGGACCCCCAUUCGACCUACAUGCGCUUACGCGUUUCCUACCAGCUGAGGGAAAUUACAGGUUUGUGUGGAGGAAGUUUGGAGAUUUUGGACAGAGGGGGGGAGGAGGGAAUGAUAGAAAAAGUGCCAACUGAGCCAAAAUCCUUCUGCAAUUUCCCUGAAACUCAAAGUUAUAAACUAAAUUCCGUCGCGAAAGCGUGCCACGCGUGUGCCAUGGAGGAUUUCUGGCUUGUGCCACUGCAGGUUUUGCCAGAAGUCUCAGCCCGGAAGAGCUUCUCUCAACUCGGCACCGUUUGGCGCUUGUUUUCCGUCAACACCGAGCGGCGGGCGUGGAAAAAUCCCACCACAACUAUUAAUCAUGUGGGGCGGACAUAGACAGCAUCCCACUCCCACACCAGCCUUUGUCCUCUCGAAGUACAAGUUGGGCGGCAAACUUUUUAAAGACUGGAACAGAAGUGGAGCUGCUCUUAUUAAUUCACCCUCAGUACUCCAGAAAGAGAAGAAUAUUGAUGAUUUAGAGUUUGGGUUCAAGUUUUACGCACGGAGUUAAAACGCAUGAUAAUGAAAGUAUGAAAGUAGGACUAAUUCUGAUUUGAAACUUGAGGUUUUGACGUUUGUAUUUUGUUCUCCUUUUGUCAUCUGCAGGUAGAGCUGUGGGUUGGACGGCAUGACUGCACACUGGAAGCUAAUCCCUCGCUGCCUUUCGCCAGCGCACCUGAACUCUUCCCUGACCCGGGCAGAGGCUUUAUAGGGAGUCGAGUGGGAAGUUAUUUGGAGUUCAAAAACAAGCUGAAGCUGGAAACCAAAAAGGCCUCAGCUAGAAGCAGACGUAUUUUACUUUUUUUGCACUACAAGACUUAUCUCUUGCUUGAAAAGUUGUUCUUGAUUGAUUACAUUUCAGACCUUGGCUGUUUUAGCAUUGAAAACUUUCAGAUUUAUUUACACAAAUCAGGGCUCCUUAUCAUUGUCAGCGAAGAGGAGCUAAAGGCACAGACCUCUGGAUGUUGGCCAGGCAGAAGUCCAUAUCUUCCCACAAUGUUGACACUCGGAGCUCUCAACAGGCAGGCGUGGGUUAAAGAUACUUUCAACUGGAGAUAAAAACUCUGUGAGGUUUACAGCGGCCAACAUCAAGGCUAACGCGAAACUCGGCGCUUUUGCAGAAAGUGGAGACGUCUCUAAGGAGGACCAGGGUGGCGUAAAUGUUUGCGUAAAGUUGGUAAUAAUAAAGUAUUUUGAAUAUUCUUGCUGAA
Molecule: long non-coding RNA, 2223 nt
Filed under: Xyrichtys novacula (pearly razorfish)
Lineage: Eukaryota; Metazoa; Chordata; Actinopteri; Labriformes; Labridae
Source: RNAcentral